UUAGUCGGGACCUAAGCCGAGGCCGACAGGCGUAGGCGAUGGAUAACAGGUUGAUAUUCCUGUACCCGUUGUUUUUGUUUGAGCAAUGGAGGGACGCAGGAGGCUAAGGAAUGCAGACGAUCGGAAAUGUCUGUCCAAGCAGUAAGUCUGAAGAGGAGUCAAAUGCUUCUUUUCUUAAGGACAAGCUGUGAUGGGGAGGGAAAUAAUAGUACCGAAGUUCCUGAUGUCACACUGCCGAGAAAAGCUUCUAGUGAGAAAACAGCGGCCCGUACCGCAAACCGACACAGGUAGUCGAGGAGAGAAUCCUAAGGUGAGCGAGAGAACUCUCGUUAAGGAACUCGGCAAAAUGACCCCGUAACUUCGGGAGAAGGGGUGCUGAUCAUACGAUCAGCCGCAGUGAAUAGGCCCAAGCG
This 413-nucleotide ribosomal RNA is filed under the name Enterococcus faecium. Its description in RNAcentral is "partial 23S ribosomal RNA". It matches the Rfam family "Bacterial large subunit ribosomal RNA", at positions 1380 to 1798 of the family's 2925-position model. Lineage: Bacteria; Bacillati; Bacillota; Bacilli; Lactobacillales; Enterococcaceae. The record is from RNAcentral.